AUAGUAACUUGUUUUUCUGCUCAAGGACCUUGCAUACUGCCCUUUUCGUUGUAGUGACGAGAAAAGUCUGGAAGUAAAAUCUGGUGUGCUGAGUGACAAACGUGUGAGCAUCUCUUCUGUCAACAAGACAGGUCUGAAUGAACUGCGUAGUAAGAUUGAACAAGGAAUUAUGGCAUCCACAGGAAGGCAGAUAAAAAAACUUGUUUUUCCCCCUGAUGGACCACAGCUCAGCUGGCUUUACCACGAGACAACAGUCCAGAACACAACAGCUGACGAGGAAGGAAAUAUUGUUGCAACCGUUGUCAUGGACGAGACGGCCAGAAAGAAAUACCAAGCAAAAUUUGGGAAGCUAGAUUAAAUAUCGGCAUUUUUGUUUAUGAAUAAUCCACAAUACAAACCUAGACUGUCAAAUGUACAAAUAGUUAGAAAUUCCUAAUAAAAAAAGCUCAAAGCUGA
Long non-coding RNA from Orbicella faveolata, 456 nucleotides. Lineage: Eukaryota; Metazoa; Cnidaria; Anthozoa; Scleractinia; Merulinidae. The record is from RefSeq and is a predicted model, not a curated record.